GACGAAGGAUGCAAGCGUUAUCCGGAUUCAUUGGGGUUAAAGGGAGCGUAGGUGGCCUUAUAAGUCAGUGGUGAAAUCUCUGGGCUUAACCCAGAAAUUGCCAUUGAUACUGUAGGGCUUGAGUAUAGAUGCCGUUGGCGGAAUAUGACAUGUAGUGGUGAAAUACAUAGAGAUGUCAUAGAACACCGAUUGCGAAGGCAGCUAACGAAACUAUAACUGACACUGAGGCUCGAAAGUGUGGGGAUCAAACAGG
This 253-nucleotide ribosomal RNA is filed under the name uncultured bacterium. RNAcentral's name for it is "partial 16S ribosomal RNA". It matches the Rfam family "Bacterial small subunit ribosomal RNA", at positions 524 to 776 of the family's 1533-position model. The record is from RNAcentral.